AUGCCGGCAGCACGCCCGUCCUGGGGCACAUGCGACCUGGUCCUGGGGCCACAUCGCCCGUCUUGGGGCACAUCUGACCAGGUCUUGGGGCCACAGCCGCCCGUCUUGGGGGCACAUCUGACCAGGUCCUGGGGGCACAUGCGACCUGGUCCUGGGGGCACAUCCGCCCGUCUUGGGGGCACAUCCGACCUGGUCUUGGGGCCACAUCCGUCCGUCUUGGGGGCACAUCCGACCAGGUCUUGGGGCCACAUCUGCCCGUCUUGGGGGCACAUCUGACCAGGUCCUGGGGGCACAUCCGCCCGUCUUGGGGGCACAUCCGACCAGGUCCUGGGGGCACAUCCGACCAGGUCCUGGGGGCACAUCCGACCUGGUCCUGGGGCCACAUCCGCCUGUCUUGGGGCACAUCCGACCGUCUUGGGGCACAUCCGACCAGGUCCUGGGGGCACAUCCGCCCGUCUUGGGGCACAUCCGCCCGUCUUGGGGCACAUCCGACCAGGUCCUGGGGGCACAUCCGACCAGGUCCUGGGGGCACAUCCGCCCGUCUUGGGGCACAUCCGCCCGUCUUGGGGCACAUCCGACCAGGUCCUGGGGGCACAUCCGCCCGUCUUGGGGCACAUCCGACCAGGUCCUGGGGGCACAUCCGCCCGUCUUGGGGCACAUCCGCCCGUCUUGGGGCACAUCCGCCCGUCUUGGGGCACAUCCGACCAGGUCCUGGGGGCACAUCCGCCCGUCUUGGGGCACAUCCGACCAGGUCCUGGGGGCACAUCCGACCAGGUCCUGGGGGCACAUCCGACCAGGUCCUGGGGGCACAUCCGACCAGGUCCUGGGGGCACAUCCGACCAGGUCCUGGGGGCACAUCCGACCAGGUCCUGGGGGCACAUCCGACCAGGUCCUGGGGGCACAUCCGACCAGGUCCUGGGGGCACAUCCGACCAGGUCCUGGGGGCACAUCCGACCAGGUCCUGGGGGCACAUCCGCCCGUCUUGGGGCACAUCCGACCUGGUCCUGGGGGCACAUCCGACCAGGUCCUGGGGGCACAUCCGACCAGGUCCUGGGGGCACAUCCGCCCGUCUUGGGGCACAUCCGACCAGGUCCUGGGGGCACAUCCGACCAGGUCCUGGGGGCACAUCCGCCCGUCUUGGGGCACAUCCGACCAGGUCCUGGGGGCACAUCCGACCAGGUCCUGGGGGCACAUCCGCCCGUCUUGGGGCACAUCCGCCCGUCUUGGGGCACAUCCGCCCGUCUUGGGGGCACAUCCCGGCGGCGCCCAGGGGUCAGCCCCGCCCCCCCGUCGUCAGCUUUCCCCUCCUCCCUCACCCCCCCCCCCCCCGCCCCCCCGGGCGCCCACUCCCCUCCCCCUCUGCCCCGCCUUCCCGCGAUAGCCCCGCCCCCCCGUCGUCAGCUUUCCCCUCCUCCCUCACCCCCCCCCCCCCGCCCCCGACAGCGGCUGGACGUGAGGCGGGGGGCGCGGUCCCCGGGGUCGUCUUGCUGAGGGUCGUGCCUCGCCGAGCGCCGGGGAUGAUGCUGGAGAGAAGCGGCGCGACCCCGCGGCCCGGCCCACGCGCUGGUACCUGCUUCCCGGGCCGCUCCCAGAGGCUGCGCCGUGGGAGCCGCGGCAGCACGUGGCGCCUCAGGAACGUGAAGGUUCUGGAAGGCUCUGGAAGGUUCUCGCGCGCCACGGGAGGCCGCCUUCGACAGGCCGCGCCGCCCGGAGGCGGGUUCACAAAGGGAGCUCGGCCGAACCCUCUCACAGGCUCGCGUGCCGGGCCGGCCGCCCUCGCCGCCCGCUACGCGCCCCUCGGCUUCGCGCCCGCGCGCCCUCCAGGCGCCCGUCAGUCACUCUGCCUCUCGUGCGCGCGCGCGCGCCCGCCUGCCCGCCCGGCUCCUGUCCGUCAACCGCGCGCUCCCGCCCAGCCAGGCGGAAGGGGCGGGGCCCGGGGCGGGUGCGUGCGCCCCAUUGGUCGGCGGCGGGGGUGGAGCUUGGCGGCGCCGCCAGGCCGGCCCCGCCCCCCGGCCCGCGGGGAGCGGCGGCUGCGGCGGCGGAGGCGGUGA
RNAcentral lists this long non-coding RNA (2051 nucleotides) under Felis catus (domestic cat). RNAcentral's name for it is "lncRNA (ENSFCAG00000053712.1)". The record is from RNAcentral. Lineage: Eukaryota; Metazoa; Chordata; Mammalia; Carnivora; Felidae.